RNAcentral lists this transfer RNA (61 nucleotides) under Heterocephalus glaber (naked mole-rat). It matches the Rfam family "tRNA", at positions 6 to 65 of the family's 71-position model. Rfam says of the family: Transfer RNA (tRNA) molecules are approximately 80 nucleotides in length. Their secondary structure includes four short double-helical elements and three loops (D, anti-codon, and T loops). The record is from Rfam by way of RNAcentral. Lineage: Eukaryota; Metazoa; Chordata; Mammalia; Rodentia; Bathyergidae.
UGUGGCUCAGUGGUGCAGUAUUUGCCUGGCAAGCAUGAGGCCCUGGGUUCAAAACCCAGCA